UGAGCAACCUGCCCUUGACUCCGGAAUAACAGCUGGAAACAGCUGCUAAUACCGGAUAUGACCUCCGAUGGCAUCAUCUGGAGGUGGAAAGCUCCGGCGGUCAAGGAUGGGCUCGCGGCCUAUCAGCUUGUUGGUGAGGUAACGGCUCACCAAGGCUUCGACGGGUAGCCGGCCUGAGAGGGCGACCGGCCACACUGGGACUGAGAUACCGGCCCAGACCUCUACGGGGAGG
Molecule: ribosomal RNA, 232 nt
Filed under: uncultured bacterium
Lineage: Bacteria
Description: partial 16S ribosomal RNA
Rfam family: Bacterial small subunit ribosomal RNA
Source: RNAcentral